UACGUAGGGCGCAAGCGUUGUCCGGAAUUAUUGGGCGUAAAGAGCUCGUAGGCGGCUUGUCACGUCUGCUGUGAAAUCCCGGGGCUCAACCCCGGGCGUGCAGUGGAUACGGGCUGGCUAGAGGCAGGCAGGGGAGAACGGAAUUCCCGGUGUAGCGGUGAAAUGCGCAGAUAUCGGGAGGAACACCCGUGGCGAAGGCGGCUCUCUGGGACGGUACUGACGCUGAGACGCGAAAGCGUGGGGAGCGAACAGG
RNAcentral lists this ribosomal RNA (253 nucleotides) under uncultured bacterium. RNAcentral's name for it is "partial 16S ribosomal RNA". It matches the Rfam family "Bacterial small subunit ribosomal RNA", at positions 524 to 776 of the family's 1533-position model. The record is from RNAcentral.